Long non-coding RNA from Ipomoea nil (Japanese morning glory), 470 nucleotides. RefSeq lists it as uncharacterized. Lineage: Eukaryota; Viridiplantae; Streptophyta; Magnoliopsida; Solanales; Convolvulaceae. The record is from RefSeq and is a predicted model, not a curated record. The transcript has 2 exons.
CAAGUACCCCCAGUACUCCACUUCCAAUUAGGGAUGACAAUUGUACCCGCACGGCCACACCCAAUGGAUGUCCAUAUGGGUAUGGUACAGCCAAAAAAUAAGGCUUUGAAAUGGGUAUGAAAGUUUUCUGGAUAAUUCUUCAGGUACAGGGAUUUCUCCCCUGCCCAUUAUAUAAAUUAUAAUAGUAAUAAUUAAUUGUUACAUUGUUAUUUGGUAUGCAAUUUAAUUUAGAAUAUGAUGUGAUAGCAUCUCUAAUUUUUUAAGUUUUCAGAUAAAUGAAUAGGAUACAGGGAUUCCCAUAAGUAAUACCCAUCCCUGCCCCCAGUGUUUUAAAAAUCACUAGGUGCUGAUCGGGUGUUUGAUUAAAGACUUCUAGGCUUCUACCAAGUAUUCCUUCUAUAAAAUACAAAUGUUUGAUCACAGAUAAUACUCCAAGUCUCCAACCAUAACACGAAAUCCAUCAAAGAAAG